GGUUUUAGGUAUCAAUCAAAUGGAUUUGUUCCGAAUUAAAUGCAGAUAAAAAUAAAUUCGAGUAUCACUCGCGAAGCGAAGUAGUUCUGUAAAGGCUGACGUCACGCGCGUCCUCACCGCACUCUUCUGAAUUUUUAUCUGCCGAUGUAGUACUUGUACGGAAUGCAAGUAAACAAUGAAGUGUCAGGAAGCGAAACGUUAGUGCUGACGGGUGGUGGGUGGUUGCCGUUUGGCAGCUGGUUCACCUCCACGACAGGCUGAGGGUCAGUUCCGGCGGCGAGGCCCCGCUCCACUCACAUGCAACAAUUUAAUUCGAUGCAAUAAACCAUCCGGAACAUUGGAAAAUUUAGGAUGCAGUGGAGACUUUCGGUUCUCGAGAAUAAGAACUACAGUCGGUGGUAACAGACUCGGAUUAUACUCACACGAACUCCAUGAAGCGUUGCAGACUACAAUAAACCUGUGGCUCCAUAAUAGACCCGGUACAUUUCGUCGAUAGACAAAAUCGACCCCAUCUAGACUGUAUCACUUACGGUUAUUUCAAUAUAUUUAUAGAUACGCUGCCAAAAAUAGCGUGCAUUUUUUUAGCUCGAGCAAUUUAGCUCAAGUCUCGACGCCUGGUGUACGUUUGGUGACAUCUUUAGGGCUAGGUUCUGUACAGUACAACGCACGCGACAAUAUCCAUAUUUUAUAAUAUAACCUUUUUAACAAUACUAUAUUUUGAGUACAAAUACACAAUUGUAACAAAACAAUAGAAAUAAAUGGUAUUUUUCCGUC
Long non-coding RNA from Manduca sexta (tobacco hornworm), 774 nucleotides. RefSeq lists it as uncharacterized. The transcript is spliced from 2 exons. The record is from RefSeq and is a predicted model, not a curated record. Lineage: Eukaryota; Metazoa; Arthropoda; Insecta; Lepidoptera; Sphingidae.